This 499-nucleotide ribosomal RNA is filed under the name Acalles ptinoides. RNAcentral describes it as "eukaryotic LSU rRNA". It matches the Rfam family "Eukaryotic large subunit ribosomal RNA", at positions 1340 to 1663 of the family's 3401-position model. The record is from RNAcentral. Lineage: Eukaryota; Metazoa; Arthropoda; Insecta; Coleoptera; Curculionidae.
GCUUAUACUCGACCGUCAGCGGCACGUGCGAUCGCGCGUUUCGGCGUGCGGUCACGAAGCCCUGACGAGUAGGAGGGUCGCGGCGGUGAGCGCAGAAGGGCUGGCCGCGAGGCCGUCUGGAGCCGCCGUCGGUGCAGAUCUUGGUGGUAGUAGCAAAUACUCCAGCGAGGCCCUGGAGGACUGACGUGGAGAAGGGUUUCGUGUGAACAGCCGUUGCACACGAGUCAGUCGAUCCUAAGCCCUAGGCGAAAGCCGAUGUCGAUGCGGUGUGGAUUUAUAUAUCUUUUUUUUUACGACGGCGACGACGACGACGACCACGUCGACGACGACGAAGAACGAGAUAAUAGUUAAUUCGUUUCUUCGACGUACGACGACGGUGGCGGCGACGACGACGACGACGACGUAUACACGAGAAGUUUCGAUCGAACACACCCAUCGGGCGAAAGGGAAUCCGGUUCCUAUUCCGGAACCUGGCAGCGGAACCGUCAAAAAGUCGGGC